CCUACGGGGGGCAGCAGUGGGGAAUAUUGGGCAAUGGAGGAAACUCUGACCCAGCAACGCCGCGUGAAUGAUGAAGGUCUUCGGAUUGUAAAGUUCUUUUCUACGGGAAGAAGAAAGUGACGGUACCUUAGGAAUAAGCCUCGGCUAACUACGUGCCAGCAGCCGCGGGAAUACGUAGGCGGCAAGCGUUAUCCGGAAUGACUGGGCGUAAAGGGUGCGUAGGUGGGUUGACAAGUUGGUAGCGUAACUCCGGGGCUCAACCUCGGCACUACUACCAAAACUGUCGGACUUGAGUGCAGGGGGGGCAAAUGGAAUGCGUAGUGUAGCGGUGGAAUGCGUAGAUAUUAGGAGGAACACCAGUGGCGAAGGCGAUUUGCUGGGCUGUAACUGACACUGAGGCACGAAAGCGUGGGGAGCAAACAGGAUUAGAUACCCGGGUAGUC
This 443-nucleotide ribosomal RNA is filed under the name uncultured bacterium. RNAcentral's name for it is "partial 16S ribosomal RNA". It matches the Rfam family "Bacterial small subunit ribosomal RNA", at positions 338 to 795 of the family's 1533-position model. The record is from RNAcentral.